AAUGUAAAUUCGAGCAAUGCGUGUGCGCUUUCAGUCCCUAGAGGAAUCCUCUCUUUCUCUGUCAUAGAACAUCUGAUAUGCAUGNCCUCAAAUCAGACUAGAGUACGCGCUGAGGCUAAGCAUAUCAAUAAGUGGAGGACAGAGACUGACAGGCAUUCCCGCAGGAGCGGCGAGUGCACAGGCAACACGUCACAUGCAAUAUCUGUCUGCUCUGUAGUCGGAGAUGUAAUACACGGGAGUCGAAGAAAAAGCAAANCGAUGUUCACAAGUCGUCUGGAAAGGGGCAUGGUAGAGUGUGAGAAGCUCGUCUAUGGUCACACCGCGCUGGCAUAAGGCACGCGUCCAUAGAGUGGAGAAGUUUGGGAUCAAACCUCCAAAUGGGUGGAAGACUCCAUCAAAGGCUUUCAAAGACGAGAGACUCACAAAGUUCAACAACCCACAGGGAAAGAUGAAGAGAACUUUGAAAAGAGAGUAAAACAGAGCCGAAAGAUCAGAAAGGGAAAGGAUGGAAAUCAGUCAUGCCGAAAAAGGAUUCAGCUUUUUUCGCGGAGUCCAAAUACACGAGCGCAUGGCAGGGAAGACUCAGGGAAUGCAGGGAAGCGCCCUCCCGGGUAAUUCAGCUUUGUUCGGGGAUCCUUAUAGCAGGGGGCCAUAGGGCAGCCCGGGUAUGAGGAUUGCUUCCUACACCUGUUCGGGGGCGAGUAGACUGAACCCAGGUUGGCCACGUUGCCAGCGGCUCCAAACACAUCAGAAGGUAUCGGCAAUCCACCCGAUCGGUCGAGCCAGCGGUUGGCGUGUACAAAGGGCAGGGAGGUAAUCAACGCCCGGUCAUGACUCGCGGACCAAGGGGUUUCACAGGUGAGGGACAAUA
This 871-nucleotide ribosomal RNA is filed under the name uncultured Glomus. RNAcentral describes it as "eukaryotic LSU rRNA". It matches the Rfam family "Eukaryotic large subunit ribosomal RNA", at positions 1 to 694 of the family's 3401-position model. Lineage: Eukaryota; Fungi; Glomeromycota; Glomeromycetes; Glomerales; Glomeraceae. The record is from RNAcentral.